This is a non-coding RNA of Camelina sativa (false flax), 3254 nucleotides long. Lineage: Eukaryota; Viridiplantae; Streptophyta; Magnoliopsida; Brassicales; Brassicaceae. The record is from RefSeq and is a predicted model, not a curated record.
UUUAGUUUAGGCGAUUCAUUCUUCUACUUUUCUAAAAAAAAAAAAAAAAAAAAAAAGAGAAGAAUUGCUGCUGCCAAGAAUCGAUUCGUAAUCAUUCGUUUCCAAAUUUGCAAUCGUCGUCAUCUUAACAUCGUUCGAACUCGCUGUCAUCUUUUAUUUCACUAAUUACCAAGUUUCGGGGUUUCUCUGUGAUCGAUCAACAGAUCAAAGUGAGAUGGAACAUUACGGAUGAAAGAGGAGUCGAAGAUCAUCUUUUGUUAGGGUUAUUUCCUUUCUACCGUUUAAUUUCUUCCUGAUUCCGGAUUCGUUACCGUCUUUAUAUUUACUUCUUUAUUAAUUCGUUACCGGUUUUUUUGGUUCCUUAGGGUGAGGAUUAAUCUGAAGAAAUUGCUUCUUAAUUAGUUCUGUAUCUGGAUUUGUUUCUUUUCCUUUCUGAGAUUUUGAAUUUUACUAAGCAUUUAAGACAUAUGUAGUAUGCGUAGUGAUCUGUUGCUUGUUUUCAUUCAUCUCCUCUCAUGAACCUUUCUAUUGAAUUUGCUCGGAUAUCUCUCAUGGAUGUUAAACACAGUGUCAACAUUUGGAGCUGUUCUUGGCAUGGUCACAGAUAGGAGAAUCAAAUGGUCUUCAGGUUUCUUCUGUUUUUCUUGGUACAUUAAUAUUGCUCAGAAGUGGCGUUUCAGUAACAGCCAACAGCUUAGUUUCAAUCCAUUAGACACUUUUUUGGUUGGAUAACUUUGAUGUUGCAUCAAAAUUGUUACUUUUGUUGUAGAACAAAAAUAAUCUACACUGCCUAUAGUGUUUAGGACCUUGCUUCAGAAAAUCUUUUUAUGUGCAAUCACUUUACCGGAUUUUUGCGCUGCUGAUAUUGACCAUCUCUCUAGAGAAACUGGAGAGGUAGCGAUGGGGGAUAAAGUGACCUGCAAGGUGGCGACUUCUUUGAACUCUGAUAACUGCUUCCUUCAGCAAUGUGGUACUUCCAUGUUCCUUUGACAUGUAAAAACAUAGUACGCAUGAGCAACAAGUACUGUCUGCUUAAGUUGCGGAAUUUUUACGGUUGAUGCAAUAGGAGUGACAUAACAAAGAACUUGUACCAGAGGUUGUUGGAGGAUUCUCUCUUCCAUGGUCAUGUGUUCCGGUCAGACUUAUUUCGCUUUCCCAUUAUCUAGUGAUGCAAAACACUUUAUGAAAGGCACUUGUAAUAGCGUUUUUACAUUUAUUUGUUCCUCUUUGCAUAUUGAAUUCUUAUUUUUGGACGAUACUCUUUCGCAUGGUUUCUCUGUUGUAUGUUCAUGAGUUCUGUUCAGGCUCAUUUCGCUUUUCCAUUCUGUUUAGUGAUCUCUGGUUCAGAUUUUGUAGAACUGAAAUUAUGCAAAACUUUAAUGACUCAUGAAAGGCAGAGAGUGUGUUUCUUGUUUUUUCCCAUCGCUUGUGGAUUGAAGAGGAAGAGAUGGUACAAGACUAGUCUUGGAGUUGGAAGUAUUAUAGGGGAGGAGGAGCCGAAGAUAUUAAGUUAUUUUCACCGAUGAUGGAUCCGUUUAGUAGUGGGAGAACCAAGGACCGUCUAGUAGUGGCAAAGGGCUGGUGCUUUUAGCGGUCUUAACUUCUGCCUUUAAUUCCUCUACCGGGAGAACGAGCUCUCUGGUUGGCCCCAGAUAUUAAAAUGUUACUGAACACUCUUUUUCUGAAACUUAAUCGGUCUUAUUGGAUGCGUUUCAUUCUCUCUCUUGAAUGAAUUACGGUCCCUAGGAAAUUUACAAGCAAAGUUGAGGGGAAGAGGAGUUAUAUAUGAACAUAAGACAUAUGUCAGUCUGAUCUAGCAUUGAGAACCAAGGACCAAGGAAAAGGGCUGCUGCUUUAUCUAUCUUAACUUAUGCCUGUAAUUUUUCUUACGGGAUCAAGUUCUUAGCAAGUUGGUGUUGCUGCAUCAACAUUACUCAAACUUGGGGUUUCAACAUGUUCAAGUGCUUCGACCUGGAUGGAGAUGGGGGUGAUGAUCACUCCCAGUGAAAUGCAAAUUUUCGACAAAAGAGCAGCUGCAUCACAUGAAGGAGAACUGCAUCACACUCCAAGAUCUUAAAGCAUCUAAACUUUCUGGAAAUGUUUUCAAUAUACUCUUCAACCUGAUAAUACUCAUGGCGUUUAAAACUCGUGUCCCUUUUAUAGCUUUUCUGUGGAGUUUUUUACUAGUCUUUGAUGUAUAGCUUUUGCUUGGUGAUGGUUGUGUCUUCUAUCUGUUUUUUUUCUUUUUCUUUUUUUCUUUCUUUUUCUUAAUAGUUUCUUUAGGUCCAGUUAUGGGAUUAAACUUUCUAGUGAUGGAUAUGGUAAACAUGCUAAAUACUGACACCAGAAUGUUCUCCAUGAUCAGGUUCAAAUGCACACACAUAGAUGGAGAUGGGGCCAAACACUCCAAUGAAAUGCAGUUUUUUUCUACGGAGAGCAGCUGCAUCGCAUGGAAUGUUUAACCCAGGAACCUGUACUCUUUGAAGAUAUCCUAUGUCAAAUAUUCGACAUGAUGAAACCAGAGGCAAGAGUUCCUUUAAAAUAUAAUUGUUCUGUUUUUGUUUCUUAUUCGAAACAUUAAUUUGUUGACUGACUCUUUCAUAAGGAGAAAUGCAUCACAUAUUCCCACACUUUUAGGAUUUAUGCUCUCGAUGUAAGUUUCAACAUUUGGAGUUGUUCUUGACAUGGUGGUCACAGUUUCAACAUUUGGAGCUGUUCUUGGCAUGGUCACAUAUAGGAGAAUCAAAUGGCGUUCAAGUUUCUUCUGUUUUUCUUGGAUUGAAAUUAUGCAAAACUUUGGUGACUCAUGAAAGGCAGAGAGUGUGUUGCUUGUUUUUUCCCAUCGCUUGUGGAUUGAAGAGGAAGAGAUGGUACAAGACUAGUCUUGGAGUUGGAAGUAUUAUAGGGGAGGAGGAUUCAAAGAUAUUAAGUUAUUUUCACCGAUGAUAGUUUCUUGUUUAUUUAUGUGUUACAUAUCUUGAUAGGGUGUCAAUGCAUGAUUCAAAUUACGUGUAGAUUUGAUAUUCCAAGAGGAGGGUGACUAAGCCAUGGCUGCCUGUCUCGCUCCUGCUAGGCUAUUGCCAACUCUUGUUUUCUUUAAAACGAGGGACUGCAAAUCUGUAACCUUGUAGUGGUCUUCUUUUGGAAUUACUCCUCAACAGCUUCUCAAAGGAUCACAACAAGCAGCAAUAUGGAUGGGCUUGUCAUAAGGUGAAUGGAGCACAACAAUUGUUCUCAUCAACAAUAUGGAGUGG